UUGGAGGGCAAGUCUGGUGCCAGCAGCCGCGGUAAUUCCAGCUCCAAUAGCGUAUAUUAAAGUUGUUGCAGUUAAAAAGCUCGUAGUUGAAUUUCGGGAUUCUACCGUUGGUCGGGCUAACAAGUCUGUACUGGUGUGUAGAAUUUCUACCUUCUGGGGAACUAUCAUGUUAUUAAUUUAGCGUGGUGGGAAACCAGGACCUUUACCUUGAAAAAAUUAGAGUGUUUAAAGCAAGCAUUAGCUUGAAUACAUUAGCAUGGAAUAAUGAAAUAGGACGUUUGACCCUAUUUUGUUGGUUUCUAGGAUCGACGUAAUGAUUAAUAGGGAUAGUUGGGGGCAUUAGUAUUCAAUUGUCAGAGGUGAAAUUCUUGGAUUUAUUGAAGACUAACUACUGCGAAAGCAUUUGCCAAGGAUGUUUUCAUUAAUCAAGAACGAAAGUUAGGGGAUCGAAGACGAUCAGAUACCGUCGUAGUCUUAACCAUAAACUAUGCCGACUAGGAAUCGGGCGACGUUAUUUUCAUGACUCGUUCGGCGCCUUACGGGAA
Molecule: ribosomal RNA, 545 nt
Filed under: uncultured Glomeromycotina
Lineage: Eukaryota; Fungi; Glomeromycota
Description: SSU rRNA
Rfam family: Eukaryotic small subunit ribosomal RNA
Source: RNAcentral